CCCCUAGAUGUUCUGGGCCGCACGCGCGCUACACUGAACAGUUCAACAAGUCUUAACCUUGGCCGAUAGGUCUGGGUAAUCUUUGAACGCUGUUCGUGAUUGGGAUAGACCUUUGCAAUUAUGGGUCUUCAACGAGGAAUUCCUAGUAAACGCAAGUCAUCAGCUUGCAUUGAUUACGUCCCUGCCCGUUGUACACACCGCCCGUCGCACCUACCGAUUGAAUGGUCCGGUGAAAUCUCGGGACGGCGGCUUGGUCGCUUGCGUCCGACUGCUGAAACUUGAUUAAACCAUAUCAUUUAGAGGAAGGUGAAGUCGUAACA
RNAcentral lists this ribosomal RNA (320 nucleotides) under uncultured eukaryote. RNAcentral's name for it is "partial 18S ribosomal RNA". It matches the Rfam family "Eukaryotic small subunit ribosomal RNA", at positions 1470 to 1796 of the family's 1831-position model. The record is from RNAcentral.